Molecule: transfer RNA, 85 nt
Rfam family: tRNA
About the family: Transfer RNA (tRNA) molecules are approximately 80 nucleotides in length. Their secondary structure includes four short double-helical elements and three loops (D, anti-codon, and T loops).
Source: Rfam
UCCGAUAUAGUGUAGUGGUUAUCAUACCGCGUUUUCAUCUCGGAAACGUGCCGCGGGGACCGGGGUUCAAUUCCCCGUAUCGGAG